UCCAUGAUCUCCCCUGAGUUGAGUGCCACCCUGAUGUCGAGUUGUACAGACCUCGCUAAGUCCCACUAAGAUGUCGUUUUAGUCGUACAAGGAUGAACCUCCCCUGCGUCCCGUCCUAGUCCUAAGAUGUCUUUGAGUCUUACAAGGAUGAACCUCCCCUGCGUCCUAAGAUGUCUUUGAGUCGUACAGGGAUGACAGUCUGAUGUCUUUCAGUCGUAUAUACAGAUCUCCUAUGAGUCAUUUGAUAUAUAAAAUUUCCAUUAAUAAUCUACUUUAGGACAUUGCUCAUUUCUGUGAUCAAUGCAUGCAUUUUAGAAGCAUGAUUAGAUUUUUCAGCAUCUUGUGGUGUUUAUUCGAUUACCGUUACUUUCGUUUACACAACGAUCCCACUGACGGUGAGGAACCUGAGUACGAGGUUGAGCCAGGAGUAGAGGUUAAGCAUGGCAAGUGCCCUCCUGUAGCUAGCUGCAUUAUCUAUCGGAGUAUCUGUAUCGUGUAGUAACUAGCUGAAUGCCCAUGCGUUGCAUCGGGAUUUUAAGAAACUAGCUGUGCCCCCCGCGCGAUGCGCCGACAUCAUCCAAGAUAAUCUUAAUCAUAAAAGAAAAAUCAUAAUAAUAAAAAAUAAGCAUGAUUGAAAACAACAUAGCACAUAACAGAGCUACACAAUAAUAAUAAUAAUAACUCGAUCAGAAAGAGAAUAUCACGAUGUUCUCAAUUUUGAGUGAUUUAAUUGGACCAUAAUAUUUUUUAUAUAAUCAAUGUUACACGAACAACGGGUAUCUCGGUGCAUAAUACAAUUACAUCAACAAAAAUAAAAUAAACAACAUUAGUAUUUCAAUACCUAGCAGAGUAGCAGUUCCCAGGAAGACCAAUCAGUGGGCGAUGAUUAAUUUGGAAGGAUAGUCAAACAAAACUAUGUCCACAGCACAUCACAGUUGUGCCCCCUGCGCAUUGCGCGGGCAUAUGAGGCAACCUAUAAUAACUCAAGAUCAGAAUUGGGCAUAUCACAAGAUAACAUGCAACACUGUUCCACAGUAAUAGCGCAAUAUCAAAAAGGGCAUAUAAUCUAACAAUGUUCUCAGUUUUGAAGUGAUGUAAUCAAACCAAAAGUUUUUUUAAGAGCAAUCUUACACUAACAAACAUGGAUCUCGGUACAUAGUAGACAACAUUCUUAAUUCGAUACCAGCAGAUCCUAGGAAAAACGAAUCCUUGGGCGAUGAUUAAUUUGGAAGGACAACGGACAUCACAUCAUAGAUAUGGCAGUGGCAACUCAUAUUGUAUAUGUUUUACAAUCUAUACAAAUUGGCCAUUAGCAAUAACAAAUAGAAAUUAAGGUUUACUGCUCCAUGACCCAGAACCAGUGAUUUUAUAGCCAAUUCUGGAGAUAUGAGAGUUCAGUAUUCUCGCCAGCUUGUCAUUAAUUAGCAUCGAUCUAUUUUAGCCACCAAUAAGAAAAGGAAAAUACAUCCACAUUUUAACCUUGAUGAAGAGCAUGCAUAUCCCACACUGUACAAACAACAAAGCAUAAUUUCAACAGAAUAAAACAGUUUCUAAUUUCCUAAAGCAUGCUGAGUAAUAUAGCAUCAGUAUAUAAUAGCAUGAGAAAGUUGAAAUUACCCGGACUGGCGGUCACAAAAGCAUCAGUGGAAGCCUGUAGGAAGCCAUAAACCCAUGAGCUAUAUAAAAUACGCAACAAACCACUAAAAUGCCAUCACAAUAUUCAGUUAUCGUGUUAGCUAAGGUCCAAUGUUUGCCUCAUAUUGUGGUCUCUGCCAUGCGCCCAUGCCUGAAAACGAAAAUGGAUGAAAGUGGUCACUGAGAUGCUGCCAAAUAUAAAUAUUGACCCAUGCAAAAAUAUAUGCUACAGUUUAGCCGAAUACCGGUUUAUAUGAUAAAAAAUAGAGUAGGGAAGGUCGUUUAUCAAAACAACUAAUUAAAUAAUGAUCAUGCAUAGGGAUAUAACAAUUGGACAACAAAUAAGACUUCCCAAGGAACUACCCAAAAAACUGAAAUAAUACCAGGCAAUAACAGGUAGAGAAACCCUAAAGAGCAAUUGCCAAGUAGCUGGAAGCCUUGAACUUGAAAUAUGAAAAACAUAGAAAUUAGCAAACGAAGCCACUCAAAGAAGCAAGUACACUAUUAGAAAAUAAAAAAAGAUAAAUGAAACGAAAUAUGCCCAUGUGUUGUUGUGGAUGAUUGAAAAAUCGUAUAGAUAUAUUUGAGAUAGGAUGAUGGCACAUAAAUAUGUAGCUAGGUAUUUAAACAAAAGGAGAGGGAAACUGUGUUGCAUAUAUCUGUUUUAGUAGUAACUGAGCUACUCAUCAUAUAGUAUUGGGAUCACAUGUACCAAAACAAAAUAAAGUUACAUACCUGAGGCAAGGAAAAUAGAAUAUGCAUUUAAGCGUAUGGCAGGAUGAUAUGAAAAAUAGCUUUUAAGCAAUACUACACUACAACAGGAAGCAAGUGGAUUUGACAAACUUUGGUAGAGAUAGGACAGUACUCUUCAUCAACUUUACAUUGAAAUCAUCCAUGCAUUUCUUGGGCAUAGAACAAUGGCCAUGUAAAUUAUCAAUGGUAGAGUAAAGGAUGGUGAAAUAAAUUAAUUGGACAACAUAAUGAUAAAAGGGGAUCAGGGAGCUGACGAACCACUGUCCUGGAUUAAAAUGAAGAUAUGCAAGGAAAAUAAAUAAAAUAUUCAUUAGAUAUUGAUGCCAGACAUUAAUAUUGUUUUGGCAAUGAGAAGUGGCCAAACGGCAACAAUCGGAGGACUUCUUUUUAUUGAAAAAUCGUAUGACUUCUGGCUGGAUGGGCCUAGCCCAAACCUGAAUCAAGAUUAGGGCCUAAUCCAGAUAGAAAAUAAUGGGGAGAUCAUACCUCACUGUCCCAAGGAAGGUGACGGCAGCACAAUGGCUAGAAGAACACUUGCUCCACUCCAUAGCUUGUACCCAAACCCUAACUGACUCACAAGAUAUGUCAUCCAAAUUGACGCUGCAAAGGAUAGAAGCAAGGAUGCUGAAGAUGGAGAAGCAGAUUGAGUUAGGGCUUGGCUUGCUCUGCUCUACUCCAUACCCAUACCCUAACUACAGAUAGAUUCAUCACAAAAUAAGUCAUCCAAAUUGAUCACUGCAAAGGAUAAAAGCAAGGUUGCUGAAGAUAAGAAGCAGAUCAGGCUAGGGCUUGGCUUACCAGACUGCACAUGUUGUCAACACCGUGCAAAGAGGUGGACGAAGGCAACUAUGGCAGCGGGCGUGCACCCUUCGUCCACCUUGAGAAAUUGGCCGGUCGAGCAAGCGAAUCAAGCGGAACGGUGGCGGCGCUUGCAGGUGGCUCGCAAGAAGGCGACGACCCCGGCCGCUAGCUCCGCAAGAAGGUGGCGGCGGCGGGCUUCGCGACUCGCGAGGGGAAGAUGAAGAUUUGAGUAUUUUGGGAAGGGAGGCGCAGAGGAUGUCGAGGAUCGAGGGGAUUGGGGAAGCUAUGCCGGGCGCAGCGAUGUGCAUGUGAGGCGUGGACGGUUGGAUCAAAUCAACGCGUGGACAUCGGAAGGUGCAUGCUGGGUGAUGAACUGUAGUACUGUAGCAUCUUUUCCUGGGCUGAGGUUGAUCAAAUCACUGCUAGUAGUGGGUUGUAAAAACUAAGGAUUUAAUAUGAUAACCCAUCAAACAUGGUAAAACCCAAAAAAAAAUAUUUUCACUGUAAUUAUCAGAUUAUAUCUAGCAUAAUUUUAGACAUGUAUGUCAAACUACAUAAUUGUUCGUAGGGAUGAACAAUAUAUUGGACAUGAAUUAUCUAUAUUUCUAAACUAUUGUAUAUGAUAUGCUAGUCCUCGGGAAGAAAAAGUAUUUUUAAUAUUUGGUUGAGAAUUUCCCUUUACUUAUUUCAGUCUAUAAGAAAGUUUUCUACGACACCCAUAUAUUCACAUGGAGUGAUGGAGGCCAUCAUCCAUUUGUCUCCAGAAGCAGAUCGACAGAAUAAACACCAGAAAAACCAACCUACUAUUGCACAAGGCAUAGAAGCCCAUGAACAGCCCAGCAGCCCAUCGACAUUCCUAACCCUGACUGCUAACUGCCUAACUCCAACCCCGGUCCACUCAUUGCCCCACGCGGCCACGCCCGCACUCGUUCCCCAUUCACAUCGCACACACGCCACGCCGCUUUGGAUCCGGCUCCGUGGCCAGCACCCGCAUCGCCGCGGCGCGCGCCAACGGUGGCGCCGACCUGGCCGUCUUCGAGCAGUUCGAGCGGCUGGUGCGCCCACCCUUCUCUAUCCCCCCUCUCGUCGACGGAUCCCGCCGCCUGUCCGCGACGGGUUCGAGCAGCGGGCGAAGCAAGAGCAGCGGCGGCGGUGAGCUCGGGCGUCAGCGGCAUGCAACCGUGAAGGUCCGCCGGCGUCGGCGAUGGGAAGGGCGGAACCGGCACCCCCUCCCUGCAGGCUGCUCGUAUUUCGCCACCUCUCCGCCCCACACGCACGCGGCCGGAUCCUUUCCCCCUCUCACCGACAAUGUGGGCCCACAAGUCAGCAUGGCAGUUGUGGGAACGGACACCACGGUUGCUGUCUUUUUAAGAUGGUAUAGAUAAUAAUAUAAGUACGCCCUGGCCUGCAGAUCGAACCGUUAAUUUAAUUUACAGCUGCUUCUGUAGAGUAGUGGUGUGCUCAUCCCUCUUGCUUAGGCAUUAACCACGCCUGAAUAUACAUACGCGCAUGUACUCCUAUCUUGUACAAAUACUAAUUACUGCAUGUAAAAGAUGUAACACUACUGCAGUGAUAAUGUUCAGAAAUCACUAGUGGCACUGCUAUUGUUAUUCCUGUUCAGUGUAUUGAUUGUUCUUUAACAGAUUUUUUUUUCGAAAUAUAUAAUCAAAAUACUGCAAUGGCCAAAUGAUCGGAGAUAAAAUUGGGUAAUGUAUAAUCUUUGCAACAAGAGCACUGUGUACCACAUUUAGAGCAGGUACAAUAGCAGGUUAUAAGCUAGCUAUAAACAUAUUUUAAACAGAUAAAGGAAGAGAGAGAGAAGAGCAACGGGCUACAGAUCUAUAGCCAGCUGCAGCACGGACUCCAAAACGUAAUGUGUGUAUGAUAGGUGGGACCAGAUAUUAAUAGUAUAGUAAGCAACUAUUGUAUGAAUUGGCUAUUACAUUGACUAUAGAUGAUUUGAAGCUAGUAGUGGGCUAUACUAUUAAACUUGCUCUUAUAGUGUUCCUUAGAGCAGGUACAAUAGCAAACAUAUUUUAAGGAGAUAAAUAAGGAGAGAGAAGAGCAGCGGGCUACAGAUUUGUAGCCAGCUGUAGCACGGACUCCAAGACGCAGUGUGUGUAUGACAGGUGGGACUAAGUAUUAAUAGUGUAGUAUGUAACUAUUGUAUGGAUAAGCUAUUAGAUUGGCUAUAGAUAAAUUAGAGCUAGUAGUUGGCUAUACUAUUAAACUUGCUCUUAUUAUGAUCUAAAGAGCAUUGUGUACCACAUUUAUAGUCAUUGUUCACUUGUUUCAAAUAAUUCUCCAAUACGGACCGGUCUCAAACUGAACACUCGAGAUGAAAAUUAGUCUGCACUUGCUGACAGUUUUGGCAGACUAGAGUUUAUACUUCAUGUAUACUCAUCUGUUGCUUUUUCUUCAAGGACAAUUGAAUACUGUAUGUUUUUAUUUGAUUUUUAAUCCAUCAAUCAUGCAUGAAAGCGACUACGGGUAUUCUUUAACUCCAACCGUGUCAUUCAUGCAUGCAACAAGUUGCCCUACUAUUCGCGUACGUAUGUUAUGUAUAGGUACAUAUAGAUGAAUUCAAAUAUUAUAAGAAACCGAUGCAUAUAUAGGUGAAAAGAAAUUAAAGGCUACACACUAAAAUUUGUUACAAACUCUAAUGUUUAGCUUUUUAUAACCCACAAGGCCACAAGUAGGUAAAUCAAACGUUCGAGAACUUCUGCUAGUAAGAACUUUUUAAUGUGCAUACAACACUGCUGCUAGGUGGAAACUAGAGUUACUAGUGGAUAUCAUGUGCAUUGGUUAUGAUAUCAACUAGUAGUAAUCAUUAAGAGCAAACUUUAGAAACCAUGACCCAUCUAAGAAUCUACAGAAUCAUCAUCAGCAGCAGCACGAUUAAACAUCGAAUAACUAAGAUAAACAUGACAUCUAAAGUUCAGUGGAAUGGCAGCUGCAGGGCUCCAAAACAGUCAGCUUCACUGUGGAAGGUACCCUAGGCUGGAUGUAUCUUCUGAUAGCCAAGACCCCUCUGUGACCUUCCAUGAUAAUGUCCCUAUCUAGUGGGGGGCAUUUGCUGAUUUUGCUGCCUGGAGUAUCACACCUAAAACCAGUCUGAGAAGCAUCCAAUGUCAAGCACUCGAGUGAAGCUGUACUCUCAAGGAUAUGGCAUGUCAGCUCAACCAAGCUCUUUACAGAGAUGAAUGAUGUAACCGUCACACUCUUAAGGUUGUGAUGCUUCUCUUCUCGUAUUGAUCUCAGAUCUGCAGGAUGUGCAAAAAUUGAAACACUCUGCACGUUCCGCUGCAUUACCUAGGAUGUGAAAGGGAGAAAUUUUAAGUGACAUUUCCACCACACAGCUACUAAUUUCAUUCAUAGCAGUAAUAAUAUAUGAACAGCUACUCACAUUCAAGUCAAAAGUCUCCAGAGAAGGUGCAGCAUAAAUAUAAGAAGCCAGGGAUAAAUAGUCAUAGGCUGGGAAAAAUCCAAUAAGGCCAAUGCUCAAGUGCCUGAGGCAGAGGAAUUUGCUACACAGCUUCGGUGCAAAGGCCGUCUGCAUAAAGAGGUCAAAUUAAUUAUGCUACAACCCAUAAGACAGAAUCUAGUCUCAUUAGAUAUGCCUAUCAUUAGUGUGUCAGGUAAAAUUUCUCAUACCUCUUUGCAUGACUUUAGGGCAAGAGAUUCAAGAUUUGGCAUGAUGGAUGGAAGUUCAGCACGAGCAUGAUAAACAUAACCAGAGCGGACCAUGCAUAGGCUCUUUAUUUGCAAAGUUUCUCCAAGUUUCAGUUCCGUUUUGUCCCCUUGAAAUGCAAACAUGGAGACAUUAGGAGCUUCAUUUUCUAUCAGUUUCAACUUGUCACACCCAAACACCUUCAGGGAGAUGAGCCGUUGCAGUAGGCAAGGUACCUUCAGGCAAACUAUCCUAUUGCAGUACCUGAUUUCCAACUGCUCCAAUGCAAGAGAAUGGGAAAGAAGGCAGCCUAACUCGUUCUCGGUAAUACGCACACGACAAAGAUACAAUCUCGUCAGACUUCUUAAGCCACUAAGUGUGACUGUUGGGUGGAAGGAACAGUUAGAAAGGUGAAGAUAUUGGAUUGAGUCUCCACUCCCAUUCGACAGAAGAGAGCAUGGGAAAUUGUACUUUGCCUGGAACUGGGUCAGUGCAAUUAUGAGUUCUUCAAUCCCUGGUUUAACAGCAAUCUGAAGCCAAUUGUUGAGAUAUGAAGAGCCCUUCCCACUAUAAUCUGAAUAUACCUUAAUCGUCAGUUUUUUCACGCCGAUGCCUGAGUGCCUUUUGAGAAUGUGGUUGACUUUGCUGUAGAAAAGUCCAGCCAAUUCUUCGUUUCCAUAUGCAUUUUUGCUCAACCCCAAUGCUUCACUACUGAAAUUGAGGUUGGGGUGGCAUCUCCAGGAACUUAGAAAGGAAUGAGACACACAGGCAGCUCGGGCAGCAUCCCGCAUUGGCAUCAAGGAAUGUAUAAGACGCCAGAUGUCCUGCUUGCACAAGCAUGGGAGAGAAGUUAACCAUUGGAAUUGUGAAGACAGAUGGUUGAAUUAGAUGGAAGAAAAAAAAUGGUAACUUAUGGAGUUAACACUUUAACCGGUCCAGUGCUACCUGCCUGAUUAUGUACUAUUGUACUAUGAAUUGUAUAGUUGACUUCUGCUAGGCAAAUAUGGUCUUACCCAAAUCAUGUAUUAGGUGCUCGGCACUAUUUGUUUCUUUGCAAUUGUGCCAGAUAAAAUGGAUGGAAUGAUGUUUAAUUGUCUAAUAGCAUGUUAUUCAAUGGCAUAAAAGGAACAGAAAUGGACAUGCACUUUGCAUAGGGUACCAAUAUCUGAAUAUAUAAACAACCAGAAAGAUCAGUUAAAUAUGUAACAGAACUAAAGGUGUGUUUGGUUGCUUGCUUGGAUUUUCAUACACUAGGUCAGGAACUCAGGAUGGGGAAGAUGCGGGGAGUCAGGAUGGGGAGAUGCGGGGAAUCAAACAAGAAUGCCAUCCUACAAGGACAUGUGGCUCACAAAAUUACCAUGUACUGCCUGCAAUGGCCUACCGGAGAUAACAUGUCACAUUUGUUAGCAAGGAACCAUUUUUGAGAUGUUAAAAUUUAAGGAAGUUAGAAACAGUAUGGAGACUAGUGGCAAAGGCUAAUCAUUGACGUUGACUUGAGAAACUCCCAGCCUAAGAACCACCAGCUUAGAAGCAAGCAUUAUGUGGACACAACUUGUAAUUGAAAGUAAGUGCAACAGCUGGAAAAACAGUUCCAAUGCAGCAGCUGUAGGAGGUUAUAGCAUCAAAGUGCUCCGUUCAUAAACUUUAAUAACGUUGGUCGACCGAUUUGUGCGAUUCAAGCAGUAAUCGUCAUAAUUUACUUGUACUACACUACUAGUAAGAUGUUUCAUCAUCAACAUUUUAUUUAUGGUGUACCUCUGGAAGGCUUGGUAUCUCUAUGUCAGCAGCACCCUGAGAAUCGCCGUCUUGUUGGCAGGGUGAGCCCUUUUCUUUUAGCCCGUAAAGCAAUCAAUCCAUCUGCAGCACAAGAUGCAUGGUUUACAUCCAUUUCAGGAAUAAACAGAAAAUUCAAGCAAGCACACCAUUGCACACAUGGCAAUCCGUUAUUUUUUUUUUUGUCCCCUUUUGUACAACAACACUAACAGUUUGUAAAAGAAAUCAAAGUGUUAUCAAUUUAAGGGGAAAUGUCUGAAGUUCAGCAUGUCAUAUAGUAUUUUUCUUAUUUUGCAUAGUAUAGUAUCCUAUAAACCGAUACAAUUCAUCCCCACUUAGUGCAAUUAAUAGUAUUUUUUUGGUCAUCUCGCUUUGCCACAUCACCCCUUAAUUUCCAUCAGAUUGAAUGUAGUGUCUCUCACACAGAAAACCCAACCAAACGUUCCUACGUACCCCAGAACAUCCUACCUCCUAUCGUUCCAUCUCCACUCUCAGCGCAACACGACGCAAGAGAACUGAGCCAUUCGGCUUCUAUGUCCACCUUUGAGUCUCCCUCGCCUGAAAGGCUGAAACGCGCUAUCAAAACCUGAAACAGCUAGGAGUUGAAGUGACAGCCGCCAUGGACAUUUAUUACCCUCAAUAUGCCUUCUCCUUUCCUCUCAAAGGCUCUCAGCUAUGCUGCCAGAUCUUCAUGGGAGAGAGAAAGACGAGCUGUAUCCUCCGGCGACGAUGACAAACUCACUCUGGUCAACGACACUAGCUGAUGAGCCUUCCCAACACAACUUAUCUCUCUCAGGAUAUGCCACUCCCGCAGGUUCAAAUCAAUAUGCUUAUUAUCCCUGUCCUUCCACAGAAUCUUUCCACCCAUGACUAGCUUCAUGUUUUAUGAUGCUUGAAGCUAUGCUAAUCUGGACCUUUCAAUUAUGUGUCUAUCGUAUGCUGCUAUGUAGAUAUGCAGUUACAACUUUAACCACUUUCUGUCGAUGCCCUAUGUAGCUGUGGUUUCAUUGUCAGAUCCUUUUCUUCUUUUUAAGCAAUUGAAGAAUGCAGGAAACAAGACCAUCAGUUGGUUGAUUCGUAGUCUAAGUAUAAUAUUGAGGUGCGUAAAACUCUUAAUUUUGAUGGAAAUUUUUAGUUGGUGAACCUUGUUCGGUAACUGAAUUUUAAUAGCCAUGUUUAUCUGCUGAACCUUCUUUCAUAUCUGAAUAUGAAUUUUUUUUUGCUAACCCUGUUAUCCAACUUGGGGAGCAAUGUAUAUGAUUUUGAAUUAUCAUCAUUAGCCAAGUUCUCACAGUAUUACUAAACAUUUUUCUUUUUCUGUUGCCCACGGUAAUAUCUAAAUUGUCAGCUACCAAGAUAUAUAUCCUCAUAUUUCACAACUGAUUUGAAUGUUGAACAAAACCGUAACUCCAUAUUCACACAAAAAGAGGUUGUCUUACUUCAAUGCAAUUCAGUGUUUUUGCUAUCCAUGCGACCAUACGCACAAAUAUUGUUCUAAGAAUUCCCGCAGCAACACGCGGGUACCUUAUAGUUACAGUGUAGUCUCUCUCCCUACGUCUCGUCAAUCUAGUUAAAGAGAAAAGGAACAAGACGGUGGUGGCCGGCCACCAGCCAUGGCGGAUCGGAUAAACCACCUUUGAUCUCCUACCUUGCGCUCAAUAAAAACAUGUUUUUUUUUCUUUUUGGUUUGUGUAUAUACUAGUACUACAUAUAUACAGAUUCGAAUAAUCGACACAAACUAGUGUGAAGAAAACUAAAUAAACACCCACCCAACGAAACAGGAAAAAGAGGCGCAAGCAAGUCCAUCUGGUUCCCUUCCCCCACCGUAAACGCAAGAAGCUGCUGCUGCUGCCGCCGCUUGACCAGAGAGUGACAGAGGGAGGUGGGAGAGGAAGCUUAUGAGGAGUAGUUUCUUUACCACGGGGGGGAGCUUGGGCUUGGCGGCGGCGGCGCUCCUGGUCCCGCUGGCGCUGGAUGGACAUGAGGCGCAUCAGAUCCAGCAUCCCCAUGGUGGUGAGGGGAUCUCUCUCCGCCGGCCUUUCGUCGUCGCCGGUCGGCACUUCUCAACGUCACACACAAAAUUGGGGAACGAGAGUUAUAAUUUGUAGGCAAGAUAGAUAUAGAUAUCAGAGUUAUAAUUUUAGGAAGGAGCCCAAGCAGUAGGCAGUAGCAGAGUUCUGUUUCAAUUAGGAUGAGGUCUCCCUACGACAACGGGGAAGGAACGGAACGUGUGGAAAACUAAAAAUAUAUUUAUCCACGGACUCCCUACUUCCAAAAAAAAACCAACUUCUAGUUAUAAAUUUAGACAUAGUGUAUGUCUAGAGUCAUAGCAAUAAGUUGAUUUUUUUUAUGAAACGGAGGGAGUAUGUGUCAUCCUAGUGUAAUUUACACUCUAACUUUUAUAUAUAUUAACUACAAUACAAGGGGUGAGAGAUAGGGAAGAAGGGAGUAGUAAAGCUGACAUGUGGGGUUCACGUCGGCCACACUAUUUUAAUUUUUUUUUGAAAGAAACACAGCAAGGGUGGCGGACGGAGCAUAGCGGUGCGGGCGAGCUCAUGGAGCAGAUGGGCGGUAGGUAGAGCCGACCACCAGAGCGUCGCCCUCGCGACAGCCACGGACUCUCCGCUGUCGUCCUUGGUGAGGAGCUCCAUUGUCGGCGGUUCGUCGACGACGGUGGAGGGGCAGAGAUGGCGGGGUUGGAGCGGAGGAGGAGGUCGUUCUCGACAUCGAUGCCGCCAUCUCCACUCGCCCCUACGACGAUGCUGACCACCACGCCGUCAGUCUCCUUCAAGAAGACACCCGCCACCCCGGCUCCGGUCACCGCGCCACCCACCAAGUCCACCAAGGCACCCAUGCCGGUACCCAAGGCCAAGGCCACCUCAUUGCCGCCCUCGUCUCCCCCAAGUCGAGGCUUUCGUCGCCGAGUCCCCACAUCCCCACCACGGCGCACGCCGAGUCGCCGCCGUCGGAGCUUGGACAUCUCGCCUCGCUCGCCUGCUCCGCUGCCCACCCGCGCGUGUCUGCUGCCUGAGAAGAAGAAGAGAGAGAAAGAGGAGGGGAGAGGGAAGAAGAGAGGAGGAGUGAGGAUGAAGAAGAGAGAGAAGGGAGAGGGAAGAAGGGAGGGGUGAGGCUGACAUAUGGGGUGAUACUGCGUCGGUUUGAAGGAGUGGAAAUAGACGCGCUCCAACGCGGCGAGUCAGCGAGGAGGACAAGAACCCUAACUCGGAUCUAGAGGACAACGUGAAGUUGAUGUGUGAUGAUGAGUGUGGCGGCUGCGGUGUCGAUGUCCUCGCACAUAGAGAGCAGCACGAUGGCGAGGUGAAGCGACACGGGCAUCGACGUGAAUGAGUCAGCAAGCGCGGGGUGCGCCUCCACCAGCGUGUACCAACGCCACAUGCAGAUGAGAGAAGGGAGAAGAUAAUGGCAAAAUUGUUGUUUUACAUGGUUUUUCUUCUGUCAAUUAGGUGGGUGACAUGUGGAUCCCACGAUAUUUUUUUGUGUGUGAAUGACAUAUGGGUGUCACAUUUUUUUUAUUCUAAUGCCAUGCCACGUAAGCGCCACAUAGGACAAAGACUCGGUAAAGACCGCCACGUAGGCGUCACGUUAGCCAAAACCACCGAGGGAUAUUGUUUGCAUGGGUUGUGAUAGCUGGAGAAGUCGAUUUACCCGGUUUUGUGGGUGGAGGACAGGAAUCAUACUGGGCGAUAGUUGGGGGAGCCGAAGUAUAAUUUUUCCCUAUUGUUUGUGCGUGUAUAUUUUUCAUCUGGGCUGCCUUUGGGUGAAAUGCGUGGCCCAUUUGAGAGUCCACACCCACCUGGGCUGGCGCCUGAGCCAGCUAAGCGUGACCAAAAAGAAAGAAAGUGGCGGGGUUUUUCAAUUUUGGUUUAUUAGUGGUGAAAAGAGGGGUGUGUUUGUUCAGUGGAAUCCUAGCCGCCCAAAGGAGUUGGAAGCAUCUUGGCCGUCCAAGAGCGAUCCGUGUCGACCGAUUUGGACCAAUCAGAGCGCUGGAUCAAAUUUGGCACGGAUUGAGAUGGUUUGGUUUUCCCGCUCAGCGCUUUGAAAAAUUUGGGGGAUAAAUAUCUGAGGAGGGGAUGGGGCCCAGACGUCAGCCAGGGCCAGCCCCCUCGUCUUCCCCUUCCUCUCUCCACUCCUCCACCACCACCGGCCGCCUCGCCCUCCCCGCCGGCCAUGGCGCUCGUCCUGCCCGACAUCACCGUCGCCACGAUCGAGGAUCUCCACGUCCUCGCCAUGCUCGAUGAGCCGCGCUUCAUCGACCUCGUCUCCAUUCCCGCCGUCCGCCGCGCAGCCGAGUUCGAGGUCGCCAUCACGCCGAAGGUGGACUACGAUGGGUGGGUCUGCAACAAGCUCGAGGAUCUCCGGCGCGUCAGGCGCUUCGACGACCUCCUCACCGACCUCCAGAAGAGGAUCCUCCCCAUGCUCGGCAACAACCCCGACGACAAGGCGGCCCUCCGCAAUCUCCGUACAUGCGGGUACGCAAUGUGGAGCGUUCGUCAACAUGCUCACCCCUCCCUCCACAACCUCGUCGGGUUCUACUCCAACACGGUGACCCGGAAGGCUCGCCAAGCUCUGGAUCCGUACAAGGCCUACACGAUCAAGCAGGAGUGGCUGCACGCCAUGGCGCUUCGGGUGGAGGGAUCCCGGUCUGCUUUCAUGCCGUUCGACAGCGACUACGUGCCACCAUCUCCGCCCAUGCCCACCAUCGUCGUCAGCUCGCUCGUCGAUGUCCACGGCGUGCGCUUCGCCAUCGACCCGCACCGCGUCGAGCUCGGCGCCGUCGACGCCGUCCGCCUCGCCCCGGAGUACCUCCACAUCCUCCUCGAGAAGGUGGAGCAGGAGGGAUGGAUCUGCCCGACGCUCCCCGCUCUGCGCCACGUCGCUCGCUUCGCCAACCUCCUCACCGAUCUCCAGGAUCGCGUCCUCCCCGGGCUCCUCAACGACCACACCGACCCAGCCGUCCUACGCAAGCUCCGCACCUGCGGGUGUGGGAUGAAGAAGCUGCGUGCCGUCGCCAAGGGUCCUCUCCUCCGCUUGACGCGCCUCUUCAGCAACUGCCUCACCCGCCACGCUCGUGACGCGCUCGACGCCCGGAAGGACUUCCGCAUCUCUGCCGAUUGGAUCGAUAAGAUUGCAGUUCGCGUCGACAGGUGUCUCACUAUACCACUUCAUCUUCACCACCACCUGGAGGACCCGUUCGUUGAUCAUCUCCAUGAUCUCCCCUGAGUUGAGUGCCACCCUGAUGUCGAGUUGUACAGACCUCGCUAAGUCCCACUAAGAUGUCGUUUUAGUCGUACAAGGAUGAACCUCCCCUGCGUCCCGUCCUAGUCCUAAGAUGUCUUUGAGUCUUACAAGGAUGAACCUCCCCUGCGUCCUAAGAUGUCUUUGAGUCGUACAGGGAUGACAGUCUGAUGUCUUUCAGUCGUAUAUACAGAUCUCCUAUGAGUCAUUUGAUAUAUAAAAUUUCCAUUAAUAAUCUACUUUAGGACAUUGCUCAUUUCUGUGAUCAA
RNAcentral lists this long non-coding RNA (14157 nucleotides) under Oryza sativa (Asian cultivated rice). RNAcentral's name for it is "long non-coding RNA (OSAT_LNC001079)". The record is from RNAcentral. Lineage: Eukaryota; Viridiplantae; Streptophyta; Magnoliopsida; Poales; Poaceae.